CAUAGAGGACUGUCAUAGAGGACUGUCAUAGAGGACUGUCAUAGAGGACUGUCAUAGAGACUGUCAUAGAGGACUGUCAUAGAGGACUGUCAUAGAGGACUGUCAUAGAGGACUGUCAUAGAGGACUGUCACAUCCAUCAGAGAGUGAAUACCAAGCCAUGACCCAGAACAAGUAUUUUCAUACUUCCCCAGUUCCCACCCCACGUCCUGCCACAACACACACACACACACACAUGCACACGGACACGCGCACGCACGCACGCGCACGCACGCACACACACACACACACACACACACACACACACACACACACACACGCACGCAGAGGGACUGUGGCUAGCCCUGCAUUUCUCCAUGCCAAUCAAUUAGAGGCCUCCCUAAAGCCUCAUGACUGAGGUUUCUAAUAAGAGGCAGCGCACAGGGACUCACAGUAAUUCACAUGGAAAGGCUGCUGGCUGAAUGGUUGGCUGGGUAGCAGGCUGGUUGGCUGGGUAGCUGGCUGGCUGGUUGGCUGGGUAGCUGGCUGGCUGGUUGGCUGGGUAGCUGGUUGGCUGGCUGGGUGGCUGGCUGGUUGGCUGGUUGGCUGGGUAGCUGGCUGGCUGGUUGGCUGGGUAGCUGGCUGGCUGGUUGGCUGGGUAGCUGGCUGGGUAGCUGGAUGGUUGGCUGGUUGGCUGGGUAGCUGGUCACACAGACCAGAACAAGGUCCAUGUUCAUUAGGAAUGGUAAAAUUAGUCUUCAAAUGGAAUAUGAAUAUGAGCAUUCUUAUACCCCAUCAUAUGUUCAUGUUGCCUGUGCUGUUCUCACCUCUGGCCUUGUGUUACUGGCCCAGCUCUCCUUCAGGUCUUGUGAGGCAGAAUAGAAAUGGCCUAUCGCCCAUUUGUGUCUCUGUCCCUUUUGGUUCUGUAAACCAUUUGGGUCUGUGCUGUGUGAUUGGUCCAUCAAUCAGGAGCCAUUAGCAGCUAUCCAGAGCCAUGUGGUCUUUGUGUGACUGAAUAAAGUAGCUCACCUGCAGGGUUAUUGGGAUUGCUCAGUGGGCUAUUACCCAACCACACCACACGUACACCUGUCAGUCAAAGCUACUGCCCCGCAUCUGUCAUUACUGGCUGGCCCGACGUAUAUGUGCAUGCAUGCAUACACACACACACACGCACAGACGCGCACGGACGCAGGCGCGCACACACGCACGCACGCUCACACAUACACAAUGCGGUACCACUCCACACUAAUGAGUCCCACAAUCUGAUGAGAGAGGUGGGGACCAGC
Long non-coding RNA from Oncorhynchus tshawytscha (Chinook salmon), 1263 nucleotides. The record is from Ensembl. NCBI's taxonomy places the organism in Eukaryota, Metazoa, Chordata, Actinopteri, Salmoniformes, Salmonidae.